Molecule: microRNA, 23 nt
Filed under: Populus tomentosa
Lineage: Eukaryota; Viridiplantae; Streptophyta; Magnoliopsida; Malpighiales; Salicaceae
Description: miR257
Source: RNAcentral
AGAGGAGUUCUAAGUAUGAGAAA